Long non-coding RNA from Vespa mandarinia (Asian giant hornet), 616 nucleotides. Lineage: Eukaryota; Metazoa; Arthropoda; Insecta; Hymenoptera; Vespidae. The record is from RefSeq and is a predicted model, not a curated record.
GAGGAAAGAUACGGAGGACGCGCGCUCCUCCGCGUGCGUGUUAACCCUCCUCUUCGUCGGACGGACGUGCUCGAAUAGAGGCUCUCUUUGUCUCGGCAAUAGUGUAAUAUGCUUGGCUACGACUACUCUCCACGUAAUAUUUUUCUUUACCCCCGCGCGAACGACAAAAUGAUCGAGAUCUACGAAAAGGAUCAAUGACCCCGUUUGGCGAAGGAUGGAUCACCGACGGACGACUAGUGGAUGCGUUCAAUUCCGUUCACCACGGAUUCAAGAGAGCCACGGCUAUUCGCAUAUAUCUGCGAAUUAUGCCAACGGUGUCUAUACUUAGGAACGGUAGACGAAUUUCGUUUGCGAGAAGCCGCCAAUUGAAAGGAGGUCGAGAAACAGCUGAUAGGGUAAUGCAGCGCUUAAGAUUUACUGUCACGUGGCGAGUCACUCGGUGUGAAAUUACCUUAAAGUUUUAAACGAUGUGAAAAGAGGAAACUUGGAAUAAUUAGACCUUUCUAUACUUCAUUAAAUUGUUAUAUACGUUAAUGCCAAAUUGUAAAGAGUAUAGACGUGAUUUAAAUUAAAGUUAACGAUAAAAAAAAAGAAAAAGAAAAAAAAAAGAAAAUGA